RNAcentral lists this small RNA (760 nucleotides) under Pongo abelii (Sumatran orangutan). RNAcentral's name for it is "processed transcript". The record is from RNAcentral. Lineage: Eukaryota; Metazoa; Chordata; Mammalia; Primates; Hominidae.
GAGGCGGCGAGGCGCGGCCCCCGCUGUCCCUGGUGUAGAGAAGUCGCCGUAGCCGCCGCGGCCGGGACUCCCCGGGCUCUCGCCCCUCGGGUCUCAUUGACACUCAGGACCCUACGUACGCUGCGCCAUGUUCAAGAAACUGAAGCAAAAGAUCAGCGAGGAGCAGCAGCAGCUCCAGCAGGCGCUGGCUCCUGCUCAGGCUUCCUCCAAUUCUUCAACACCAACAAGAACGAGGAGCAGGACAUCUUCAUUUACAGAGCAACUUGAUGAAGGUACACCCAAUAGAGAGUCAGGUGACACACAGUCUUUUGCACAGAAGCUCCAGCUCCGGGUGCCCUCCGUGGAGUCUUUGUUUCGAAGUCCGAUAAAGGAAUCUCUAUUCCGGUCUUCUUCUAAAGAGUCUUUGGUACGAACAUCUUCCAGAGAAUCCUUAAAUAGACUUGACCUGGACAGUUCUACUGCCAGUUUUGAUCCACCCUCCGAUAUGGAUAGCGAGGCUGAAGACUUGGUAGGGAAUUCAGACAGUCUCAACAAAGAACAGUUGAUUCAGCGGUUGCGAAGAAUGGAGCGAAGCUUAAGUAGCUACAGAGGAAAAUAUUCUGAGGGUAUAUUAAGUCAGAGUCAGGAUAAAUCACUUCGGAGAAUUGCAGAAUUAAGAGAGGAGCUCCAAAUGGACCAGCAGGCAAAGAAACAUCUCCAAGAGGAGUUUGAUGCCUCUUUAGAGGAGAAAGAUCAGUAUAUCAGUGUUCUCCAAACUCAG